Long non-coding RNA from Sander lucioperca (pikeperch), 997 nucleotides. RefSeq lists it as uncharacterized. The record is from RefSeq and is a predicted model, not a curated record. Lineage: Eukaryota; Metazoa; Chordata; Actinopteri; Perciformes; Percidae. The transcript has 5 exons.
CACACACACACACACAAACAAACAAACAGGAAGUGUCUGCUUAAAUGGAUUUAACUAGAUAGACUCAGCCAGAUAAUGCAGUAACAUUACCUGAGGAUGCGGUUUGGGUCGAGAUUAUUUUCACUGAACAUGGACAAGCCAAUGCCUCACACAAGAUGGUUACUGCUGCUGAGCUUUAAGAGGAACCUUAAUUGUAACAAAGGGCACUAAUGACUGAAAGAAUAUUAUCCUAAGAUGGUUCCGCACCGACCCUCCUUCUUCUCCUAUUUUGAUGUGAUUUCCAGAGAGGACAUGUGAAUACCAGCUAAAGGCAGAGACACGAUGGACUGAUGCUGCCCUGACAGAACCAAAGGAUGCUGCGAGCAGCAGGGGCAAAAAAACAAGAUGCAGAUGAGCUUUGUGUACAUCACCAGUGGCAGAGCAGCUAUCAUAUACACAUGGUCCCUUGGGGAAGAAAGGCACCUUUAAGUGACAGACAAGUGUCAUAUCAACAUCAGACUGAAGGGAGAGAUAAACAUCUAUACAUCUAUUUUCAGGCAUUUUUUGAGAUGUCAAGUGCUGACGUCAGGUGGUCUUCGCUAAUACAUUCAGGCGUGCUGUUGUUUGAGUAGCCAGACAAACAUGCUCAUAUGCACAGGCAUGCCGAUACUGGCUUACAAAAGACAUACAGACCGAGUGCUGGCACUCUGGCCUCUGUCCUGUUCCAGCUGGGAUCUUAUCAGUGUGUGUGGUGGGUGGUAAUCAGAAGAUAUAAUACAUCAGGCAGCUGGCUGUUUAACCACAAUGGAGCAUCGCUGCUACAGCAACACUCAGCAGCCAGUGUGUCCUUGAAAUGGGGAAUGAGACUGAGGUGAACAAAUUAGAAGUCCAGCACCCAAUAAUGAUGCAACCCUGAACACACUCAAUCUGAUCUCAUUCUUUUUUCUUACCCUACCUCUUUUUCAUGCUUAGAGUUUUGUGUGUCGUUGUAAAAUUGAAUAUCUUGCUGUUUGCAAAU